AUCUACGGCCAUAUCCGCUGGAAAGCACCGGAACCCAUCUGAACUCCGCAGUUAAGUCAGUGCGAGCCGAGCCAAGUACUGAGGUGAGCGAUCUCUCGGGAACGGUCGGUGCUGUAGUUU
This is a ribosomal RNA of Vittaforma corneae ATCC 50505, 120 nucleotides long. The record is from Rfam. NCBI's taxonomy places the organism in Eukaryota, Fungi, Microsporidia, Nosematidae.